GGGCACUUAGUUCAGUGGUAGAACGUUACUUUGACAUAGUAAAGGUCGUAGGUUCGAUUCCUACAGUGCCCACAA
This 75-nucleotide transfer RNA is filed under the name Candidatus Wolfebacteria bacterium. Its description in RNAcentral is "tRNA-Val". It matches the Rfam family "tRNA". Rfam says of the family: Transfer RNA (tRNA) molecules are approximately 80 nucleotides in length. Their secondary structure includes four short double-helical elements and three loops (D, anti-codon, and T loops). The record is from RNAcentral. Lineage: Bacteria; Candidatus Wolfeibacteriota.